This is a long non-coding RNA of Helianthus annuus (common sunflower), 1892 nucleotides long. RefSeq lists it as uncharacterized. The record is from RefSeq and is a predicted model, not a curated record. The transcript has 6 exons. Lineage: Eukaryota; Viridiplantae; Streptophyta; Magnoliopsida; Asterales; Asteraceae.
AUCACUUCUUCAUCCCUCUUCACCCCCAAUUUUCAUCUCUAAACCCUCACCCCACCCCACCCCACCCUACAGUCACCAUUCCACCAUCACGGCACCGCCAUAUCCGGCCACUGAACACAUCUCCACACUCCUUUAACCCUUUCCCCCACAACUAAGCCAAAAACCCCCAUUUCCCAACAGAGACCGUCAUCAUCUCCGAUCGGGUCGCACCACCAUUGCUAAACGGCGGAUUCUGGUCACUAUUUCGACGUAACACGGUGUCAUGCAGUGGUGCUAUCGGCGGUAACCCUAGGAGGUCGACAGCUGCCCCCUAGCAUCGGUGACUUGGGUUUGAUUUUGGUGUCGAACAACCAACAUCGGUGGCGUCGGCGAUAGCGGAUAUGGGGGGAGAGGAUCGGUAGAAACGAUCAGCAGCGAUGGAACCCUACAAAGACCUAUCGAGAAAGAAAGGAAAAGGAGACAGCACAGAUCGAGAACCAAAGGAAAUGAAUAGUAGAUUUGAAAAAUUAAAGAGAAGGGGAAUGAGGGAGAAACCGUUUUAGAGGGAGGGAGGGAGAGAGAGAAGCAGAGAAGAAGAAGAAGAAGAAGGCCGACCAUGGUCUCCGACCGGCCGGCCAUCCUGUUCUGGUUAUGGUAGUUGUGGUGGUGGUUACUGGUGACAUUGAGGGCUCCAUUGGGCGUUAUCGGUGGUUGUGAUUGGCGAUGUUAGUAAUUAAUGGUGUUAAUGGCGGUGGUUCCGAACAAGGGAUGUGGUGGUUGUCGACGGUGAGCAGCGUCAGUGGUGGAUGUAGUCAGAGACGGUGACGAUGUUUAGGGUUUAACAUUGUCGCUUGCGAGUGUAGCAGAAAAGAACGGCGGCUACGAUCUGUUUAUGAGUUCCGAUAAUGGUGGUUACAAUGGUCACACUUUUCAUCUGAGAUGAUUGGAACAGAUGGCGUCAACGUUAAGAUGGUUCGAGUGUGGAAGAUCUGGUUACUUCUGUCGGCGGUAACAAUCGGUGCUACGGUUACUUCUGUCAUUUUCAUCUUAGAUAAGAAGCAGACUUUGGGAAGGUUCCGCUACUUCCAAGAUUUGGGGAGCUUCCACACAAUGAGCUGUUGUGGGUGACACAGUCUCUUGGGUAUGUUUUUCAUGAGUCAAUCGUUCACCAUAAGUAUUUUAAUGAAACACAUAUGUGAACAAUCUUGCUUAUUAAACCAAAAAUGGGAUUUAUGCAGAGGGAUGUUGACUGCAAACAUAAUUAUUUCAGGGGGUUAUGACUACAUGUAUUUGGUGAGAAUGAUGAAUAUGAAACUGUGACAUGUAUGCUGGCGCCUGCUUUGUAGACAAAAUGCAUGGUGUUGGUAUAUACAACUUUGCAAAUGGACAUUGGUAUGGUGCAUAGAACUUUAUAUAUAGAUGGUGUUGGUGGAUCAAUGAUAACGAGUAGGACCGUGUUGGCGUCGCUAUGAUUCCGGUCUAUAAUAGCAUAUAGCGGAUCUGCAAAGACGUUUAGUUUGACUGAUAUUGAGAAAGCAACCGACAAUUUCAACGAAUCAGGAGUUCUAGGUGAAGGUGGACUUGGGCAUGUUUAUAGUGGCAUUCUUGUAGAUAGAACAAAAAUGGCGGUUAAAGUAUCUAAAUGUGACGAUCAACAAGGCGGUCGAGAAUUCUUGGCUGAAGUUGAGAUGCUCAACCGAUUGCCCAUAAAAACUUGGUUCGGUUGAUUGGGAUAUGCACAGAGGAAAGAAACCGGUAUUUGGUUUAUUAGCUUAUGACAAAUGGGAGUGUUGAAUCCCAUCUUCACAAUAAUUUUAUGCAACAUGUUUUGCAAAUUCGGGUUUAGGGAAUGUUUGGGAAUGGGUAUGUAUCAUUGAAGUUGAAAAGUUUUUCAAAAGUCAAUCAUUCGUUUA